Molecule: transfer RNA, 73 nt
Filed under: bacterium
Lineage: Bacteria
Also listed under: 2 other names
Description: tRNA-Ala
Rfam family: tRNA
About the family: Transfer RNA (tRNA) molecules are approximately 80 nucleotides in length.
Source: RNAcentral
GGGGCCGUGGCGCAGCUGGAAGCGCGUCUGACUGGCAGUCAGGAGGUCACGGGUUCGAAUCCCGUCGGCUCCA